CUAACCCGAAGACCCAAGUCGGAAUGCAAGAGAAGUACGCUCUCUGUGCGGGCGAGGUAGCGCUGAGCUAGGGUUAGGUUUCGGUUUCCCAGUGAUCGAUCGAAACCCUCCCUUCGCAAAAACCGUAGCCAACUUCAACACCCUCGAUUUCCUCCGCCUCUCCACCAUCACCGCCGUCUCCGUCACCGUCGGCUACCUCUCCGGGAUCAAGCCCAACAUUCGAGGCCCGUCGAUGGUGACCGGGGGUCUGAUCGGGGUCAUGGGUGGGUUCAUGUACGCGUAUCAGAAUUCGGCUGGGAGGCUCAUGGGUUUCUUCCCGAACGAAGCCGAGGUCGCCCGAUACAAGAAGUAGAUGGAUGGCGGGAAAUGGUGCUCGCUGAGGACAGUGUUCGUCAUCUCCACCGUAAUGUGCUCCAUCGCUUGAGAUACUUUCUUGCUUUGUGUGCUUUUGCUGUAUUCUUUAUCUGAUAGACCCAAGCUCAUGUUAUGCCUUUGAGGUGUUCGUUGAGGGAGUGUAGUAGCAUCAUGCCAUUCCCUAUUAUAUAUGAGAUAUUGUGUGAACAAAUGAUUUAUGUGUUUUCGUAGUCGCUUCCGUAGAUAUUAUACAAUGCUUGCUAGUAAAUCAUGUCGUCGGCAAGCAUCGUGGCAUGUUGUUAUUUUGAUGUUGGAGUCGAUCAUGCUACUGUUCAAAGAGAUGGAAUUGCAUCUGUUGUGCUUA
This is a long non-coding RNA of Asparagus officinalis (garden asparagus), 718 nucleotides long. RefSeq lists it as uncharacterized. The record is from RefSeq and is a predicted model, not a curated record. The transcript is spliced from 2 exons. Lineage: Eukaryota; Viridiplantae; Streptophyta; Magnoliopsida; Asparagales; Asparagaceae.